Molecule: ribosomal RNA, 824 nt
Filed under: uncultured bacterium
Lineage: Bacteria
Description: bacterial SSU rRNA
Rfam family: Bacterial small subunit ribosomal RNA
Source: RNAcentral
GAGGGGUAUAGUAGCAAUACUAGAGACCGGCGCACGGGUGCGUAACGCGUAUGCAAUCUACCUUUUACAGAGGGAUAGCCCAGAGAAAUUUGGAUUAAUACCUCAUAGUAUUAUUAAAUGGCAUCAUUUUAUAAUUAAAGUCACAACGGUAAAAGAUGAGCAUGCGUCCCAUUAGCUAGUUGGUAAGGUAACGGCUUACCAAGGCAACGAUGGGUAGGGGUCCUGAGAGGGAGAUCCCCCACACUGGUACUGAGACACGGACCAGACUCCUACGGGAGGCAGCAGUGAGGAAUAUUGGUCAAUGGACGCAAGUCUGAACCAGCCAUGCCGCGUGCAGGAUGACGGUCCUAUGGAUUGUAAACUGCUUUUGUACAGGAAGAAACAUCUCUACGUGUAGAGACUUGACGGUACUGUAAGAAUAAGGAUCGGCUAACUCCGUGCCAGCAGCCGCGGUAAUACGGAGGAUCCAAGCGUUAUCCGGAAUCAUUGGGUUUAAAGGGUCCGUAGGCGGCUUAGCAAGUCAGUGGUGAAAUCUCCCCGCUCAACGGGGAAACGGCCAUUGAUACUACUAGGCUUGAAUUAUUAGGAAGUAACUAGAAUAUGUAGUGUAGCGGUGAAAUGCUUAGAUAUUACAUGGAAUACCAAUUGCGAAGGCAGGUUACUACUAAUUGAUUGACGCUGAUGGACGAAAGCGUGGGGAGCGAACAGGAUUAGAUACCCUGGUAGUCCACGCCGUAAACGAUGGAUACUAGCUGUUGGGAGCAAUCUCAGUGGCUAAGCGAAAGUGAUAAGUAUCCCACCUGGGGAGUACGUUCGCAAGAAUG